Molecule: long non-coding RNA, 528 nt
Organism: Hyaena hyaena (striped hyena)
Lineage: Eukaryota; Metazoa; Chordata; Mammalia; Carnivora; Hyaenidae
Exons: 2
Source: RefSeq, a predicted model, not a curated record
UAUUCUGAAGCUGAACAGACCUCAGACAAUGACCUUCCCAGGCUAGUCCCAGAAAAAGAGGCAAAACUUCCUGGAAAGCUAUACUUUUCCCUCAAGGGAUUAAAGAAAGGCAAGAAUUUGGGCCUAUGCUAGAUUCAUCAGAACCAUAGACACGGAUCAUCUGCAACAGAGCCUUCGAAAUUCUUACCACAAAUGGAUUACAAAUUGCCAAGAUGCUGACCCCUCAGCUCUAUAGAGCCGAUGCUGGCAAAGUCUCGAGCCCCAUAACCCUGAAUAUGAGCAAUACUAUCUAGUUAUGCCAGUUUGUUACCAGUGCUGCCAUUUUACUACUAUGCCCAGCAAGACACAAAAGUUGAGGAAGCAUGGAGAUGUAUUAGGAAUCUGUAUCACAGACACUGAAUCAAUCAGGAUGCUGUGGACUGAAGUGGCAGAGACACCAACUCAAACUGGCUUGACUGGUAUGGAAAUACAUGAAAAGACCACGCAGAAUUGGUUUAAUGUUUAAUACAGUCCUCACUGAACUCUCAA